Oncorhynchus keta (chum salmon) is the source of this 297-nucleotide long non-coding RNA. RefSeq lists it as uncharacterized. NCBI's taxonomy places the organism in Eukaryota, Metazoa, Chordata, Actinopteri, Salmoniformes, Salmonidae. The record is from RefSeq and is a predicted model, not a curated record. The transcript has 3 exons.
GAACACUGCAGUGAUGUUUUACAGUAAGCCAGGUGAGGAACACUGCAGUGAUGUUUUACAGUAAGCCAGGUGAGGAACACUGCAGUGAUGUUUUACAGUAAGUCAGGUGAGGAACACUGCAGUGAUGUUUUACAGUAAGCCAGGUGAGGAACACUGCAGUGAUGUUUUACAGUAAGCCAGGUGAGGAACACUGCAGUGAUGUUUUACAGUAAGCCAGGUGAGGAACACUGCAGUGAUGUUUUACAGUAAGCCAGGUGAGGAACACUGCAGUGAUGUUUUACAGUAAGCCAGGUGAGG